This 513-nucleotide ribosomal RNA is filed under the name Triticum aestivum (bread wheat). Its description in RNAcentral is "partial small subunit ribosomal RNA". The record is from RNAcentral. Lineage: Eukaryota; Viridiplantae; Streptophyta; Magnoliopsida; Poales; Poaceae.
AUGGCUUCUCAACUGGCCGACCCUACUCUUGCUCGUAUCUGGGACUCGCGUGUCCCCAGCAGAGUGAGGGUGUUCGGCUGGCUUUUCUACCUCGACCGACUUAACACACGGGCAAACCUGCUCCGUAAGUCCAUCAUCGACUCUGCUGCAUGCCCCCGAUGCGCUGCUGCGUCCGAAGACCGGGCACACCUCUUCCUCCGUUGUCCGGCAACUCGUGCCAUUUGGGAUGCCAUUGGUCUACACCCUUGCUCUACCCCCUUCGCACAUCUUUGGGUCUCCCAUGGGCACCCGGGUCUCCCUGAGUCAGUAUGGCCUCUCAUUCUUCUUCUUAUCCUUCGGAAAAUUUGGGAUGUCCGUAAUGCUAAAACUUUUAGGGAUAUAGAUGUCUCACCCCAUGAUGUUAUUAGGGGCAUCAUUGCGGACCUUACUUUGUGGUCUCAUCGCCUUAAGAAGGCGGAGGACAAAGUUCACGCCGGCCUGUGGCGGGACUAUUUUACCUCUCGUCUUGUCUAA